GCUGGGUGUGGUGGUGUGCACCUGUAGCCCCAGCUACUCUGGAGGCAGGAGGAUUGCUUGAGCAGGAGUUCUAGGUUGUAGUGUACUAUGCCAAUCGGGUGUCCGCACUAAGUCCAGCAUCAAUAUGGUGACCUCCCAGGAGUGGAGGACCACCAGGUUACCUUAGAAGGAGUGAACUGGUCCAAGUGAGAAAUGUAGCAGGUCAAAACUCCCGUGCUGAUCAGUAGUGAGAUCACAUAAUGCCUGUGAAUAGCCACUGCCCUCCAGCUUGGGCAACAUAGUGAGACUCCU
This 291-nucleotide signal recognition particle RNA is filed under the name Propithecus coquereli (Coquerel's sifaka). Its description in RNAcentral is "Metazoan signal recognition particle RNA (ENSPCOG00000001997.1)". It matches the Rfam family "Metazoan signal recognition particle RNA". Rfam says of the family: The signal recognition particle (SRP) is a universally conserved ribonucleoprotein. Lineage: Eukaryota; Metazoa; Chordata; Mammalia; Primates; Indriidae. The record is from RNAcentral.